GGAGAGGUGGCAGAGUGGUCGAAUGUACCUGACUCGAAAUCAGGCGUACGUGCAAACGUACCGAGGGUUCGAAUCCCUCCCUCUCCG
This 87-nucleotide transfer RNA is filed under the name Comamonas sp. JNW. It matches the Rfam family "tRNA". From Rfam's summary of the family: Transfer RNA (tRNA) molecules are approximately 80 nucleotides in length. Lineage: Bacteria; Pseudomonadati; Pseudomonadota; Betaproteobacteria; Burkholderiales; Comamonadaceae. RNAcentral also lists the same sequence under 1 other name. The record is from Rfam by way of RNAcentral.